Molecule: ribosomal RNA, 305 nt
Filed under: uncultured bacterium
Lineage: Bacteria
Description: bacterial SSU rRNA
Rfam family: Bacterial small subunit ribosomal RNA
Source: RNAcentral
CGACCUACGGGGGGCGCAGUGAGGAAUAUUGGUCAAUGGGAGAGAUCCUGAACCAGCCAAGCCGCGUGAGGGAAGACGGCCCUAUGGGUUGUAAACCUCUUUUGUCGGAGAACAAAACCCGGGACGUGUCCCGGACUGCGUGUAUCCGAAGAAAAAGCAUCGGCUAACUCCGUGCCAGCAGCCGCGGUAAUACGUAGGGGGCAAGCGUUAUCCGGAAUUACUGGGUGUAAAGGGAGCGUAGACGGCUGUGCAAGUCUGGAGUGAAAGGCGGGGGCCCAACCCCCGGACUGCUCUGGAAACUGUAU